CUUGCCCAAAUAAUGGCUGCAUUGUCAGCUCGACCAUCAUUUUAAAAUAUGAGCUCCCGCAUUUCUCCUUCCCCUCACACCACAUAUCUUUACACGAUGCAAUAAAAGAGUGUAUGCCAGAGAGGUGCAUUCAAUACUUCCCUACUUGAGGGGAUCGCAUAUACAAAAUUAAAAUGCAGUGAUCACAUCACAGAUUAUAAAUUGUUUUCUUAAUUUACACACACUGUACACCUGCUUUCCCAAAUCAGCAUUACCAUAUCACCAUGUAUCCAACCUUUAGGCGCAACAGGCAACCUACAAUUGGAGUGAUGGUUCAGUAAGAUAGAACAUUUAGCACAAAGAAAGAUGAAUUUUGAAAAAAAAACUUUCAGUGAACACAGAAAAAAUCGAUGCUCGACUGACUUAAUACCAUCUAAAAAUAUGCAAGAUAGUAAUAAGAGGUCAAGCCAACCAAGUGAAAGACGUUUGAACUGGAAUUAGACACAUUGUACAUCAUGAAUCAUUAGGAGCUGGACCCCAUAGAAUCUUUUCGGCUUCAGUUUUAUGAUUAGAAUUUGGCAUUAAACUAAAGACUUUUUUUUCUUGUCCACUCUUCAGUUGCUAAAUUAUGAUUCAUAAAGUUAAUAGUGCAUCUUGGAAAAGGUUAUAAUAGUUUUGGUUACAGGGUUGAUGAUAUAUCUAUGGAUAUUAUAGUGAUUGAUAGUCCAUGGUUCAUUUGAGCUCACUUUGGCGCGAAUGCGGUGAUGAAGGUUCGACCUGCAGUUUCGAAUUUCCCUUGACUCAUUCAGUGCAGCUUCCUUCAUGACGUAUUCCACAUGCUAAUAUGAACUUUCUCAUUGUAUAUAAAUUUUCAGGAGAGAAAAAAGGAAAAAGAUGUUACGGUUUUCCUUGCAGCUCAAUUUUCACACCCUUCCCAGGUUAAUAUUCACUAUUUUCUUUGGACCAAAUUUAUGCUGCCUUUUCUCUGUACACACGUCAUCAAAACUGAACAAAGAGGCAUCACAUAGGUUUACAUGGCGCGUGUGAACAUGGUUUAAGAUAUGAUGUUUCUUGGAGAGAGCAAACUAACCUUUUCCAUUUAAUGGUUUAUUAACUAAAAUAUUGAUCGACGGCACAUUCUGAUGCUUCAGCUUUGUUUUUGCUUUCUUGUCACUUAAUUGGGUAAUAUAGUAAGAAAGCAUACUGAAUGAGACUCGAAGGAAUUUUGAUGUCAACUCAUGAUUAGCAAAACUUAAAAUGAUCUCUUUAGACAAGUAUCGGAUUAAAGAGACCAAUAUAGAACCAUAUUAAAUAGGGACUGAGCUUAGCUGGAAGGUGAGAAAGAAAUUACAAUUGCUAUUGGUGCAACAUUACAAAAUUUAACUUAGUUAUCUAUCAGAUUUCUUGACUCAAAUUCUACCUAGCAAAGAAGAAGAUUGAAUCCCCAGAAAAGCCAUGCUAAAAGAAAUAGAGACUCAAUGAUUGACCUCAAUCAAAUUAUUUGUUAAAUAGAGACUGAGCAAAGAGGGAAGGUGAGAAAGAAAUUACAAUUGCUAUUGGUGCAACAAUACAAAUUUUAGCUUAGCUAUCUAUCAGAUUUCUUGACGCAAAUUCUAGCUAGCAAAGACGAAGAUUGAAUCCCCAAAAACCCAUGAACUUGUUUUAAAUACAUGACAAAAUCUAGCUGAGCUAAACCUUCCUGGAAUCUUAUGUGGAUUUUUAGAGUUUAGACCAAGGAGAAAUGGGGAAAUAAUUCGGGAUAGAGGGUAGUGUACGAGGGAGCCUUAGAAUAGCGGGUAGCCUAGCGAAGUUUAUUGGAAAAAGGUGGCUUUUGUCUCGUCAGUGAGUUUGUUGCCCAAUGCCCAUGCUACUGAUAUAAUGUCGUUCAUGACAUACCUCACCCAGUUCCAAUUCGGGAUGUCAUCCAAAUUUUUUAGAGCCACAAAAUAUGUUGGAAGAAUAACUACGGAUCAAAUGGACCUCGAACUUUAUCUCACCGUGAACACCACAUAAAUCACACUCUAACAUGGAGGCCUCAGCCAUCACCAAGGCAUCUCAUGGAACAUGGGGGAAACUCCAAAUCGAGCAGAGCAACACAAAAAUAGGAAUCAGGCAUGAGGAAAGGGGAAUAAGCUAACCUGGGUAAUGGGAUCAGCAGGUUGAGGAGGGUGCCACCGUGCCAGCGGCCUCCACGAGGAUAAUCUUGCACACGAUGUCGCCUCAAGCAAUGGAUUGCCACCACCAGAACCGAAGCACUUGUUGUUCAUGGUUUCAGUUAUGAGAUAUCCCGUCAACUGAGGUACAAAUCACAAAUAGGUCAGCUCACGAGCUAAAGAAUAUAAUCUUAUCCAAGAAAAGACAAAAUAGUCCGCAGCAGCAAAGCUUUAUUAAGUUCUUUACUAAGAAAGCGAACUUAGAAACUACAGCCCAAACAGAGAAUAAAUGGUUUAGAACAGGCAUAAAUCUGAUCCAUCUUCCAUCAUCAAUAAUAAAAAUAGGAAAUCUUGAAAUCCUUGGUCCAAACAUCAGAAGUGACAAAAGUCGAAGCAAGCAGUGAACUGAAAAUUACUCUGAGAAAAACUUUUGUUUUGUUGACUCUAAACAAAGCCCAUGCCCUGCUGUCCACGCAAUACAACAAAUUAUUAGCCCAAGCUUGAAGUACUAACAAGAACGAAUCCCUUUCGUUAUUAAUUCAUUAAAUGAACAGCAGAGAAAGUGGAUGCAUGUGCAGGCAUCGUAAUGAAUGGUACUUGAUGAAGAGAAAUAACUAUGCUAAUAUAUGACUUUGCUAACUAAUCAAUCUGCUGCAAUCACAGUUGGUGCAUAACACUAAACGAGCGCUUGUGAUUAGGACAAUGGUUAUAGAUAAGUAAAGAGAAAUUACAAAACAAGGUAUGACGAGACUACCAAAUCAGCCUGAGAAAGUAGGAUCAACGGAAACAUAACAAAGGAGACAGAAUAAUGAAUAUUUAGUGGAGAUGAGCUAGUUGACCCUACAGGCCAGAGGAAGAGCUCACGAGAAGGUUAGGCCAGCGAAUUUGGGACCGAUGCCUGGAAGGAAGAAGCAAAGCACUAAAAAACACAUCUUGUUCGCGCCUAACUAUGUUGUGCAGUUGCGCCGAUGGCCUCAUCGUCUGAGGCAACUCCACAUGUCUCCACUAUAAAUCUAAAGCGUGAACUGGGAGGACUUCUGCAAUUGUUAAGCGAAUCCUGCAUACAACCAUGACAUUGGCUACAAAUUUGAUCUUCACCUCCCGAUGCAAUUACAACAUAUGAUUAUGCACAUAUAUAACAGUAGUAUGAUGGAUUGACUACCAUCAAGAAGAGAACAUAAACUGACAGAUUUUCCGGUAAAAAAACUGGCUGCGUUAAUUUUUACCUUUCCCACUGCAUAACCAAAUGUCAUUAACUAUCAAAUUAGUCGCAAAUAAGACUAAAAUCACCAACGGGUUGCUACCUUGAUGCUUUAUAUUUCUUCUAUGUGUCUUGCUGUCCCCUCCAAGUCACUGACGCGCCCGGUCGAUCCUAAAGUUUGUCAUUUCCUUGUGGAGUU
Molecule: long non-coding RNA, 3532 nt
Filed under: Triticum aestivum (bread wheat)
Lineage: Eukaryota; Viridiplantae; Streptophyta; Magnoliopsida; Poales; Poaceae
Description: long non-coding RNA (TAES_LNC018549)
Source: RNAcentral